GAUGAACGCUGGCGGCGUGCCUAAUACAUGCAAGUCGAGCGAACAGACGAGGAGCUUGCUCCUCUUAGGUUAGCGGCGGACGGGUGAGUAACGCGUGGAUAACCUACCUAUAAGACGGGGAGAACAUCGGGAAACCAGUGCUAAUACCGCAUAAUAUAUUUAACCGCAUGGUUCAAGAGUGAAAGACGGAUUUGCUGCCACUAAGAGAUGGAUCCGGUUCGCAUUGGCUAGUUGGUAAGGUAACGGCUUACCAAGGCAACGAUCCGUAGCGGACCUGAGAGGGUGAUCGGCCACACUGGAACUGAGACACGGUCCAGACUCCUACGGGAGGCAGCAGUGGGGAAUCUUGGGCAAUGGGCGAAAGCCUGACGGAGCAACGCCGCGUGAGUGAUGAAGGUCUUCGGAUCGUAAAACCCUUUUGUUGGGAAAGAAGAAGUGUGUAAGUAAAUCUGCACGUCUUGACGGUACCUAAUCAGAAAGCCACGGCUAACUACGUG
This 497-nucleotide ribosomal RNA is filed under the name uncultured bacterium. Its description in RNAcentral is "partial 16S ribosomal RNA". It matches the Rfam family "Bacterial small subunit ribosomal RNA", at positions 28 to 507 of the family's 1533-position model. The record is from RNAcentral.